Molecule: RNA transcript, 667 nt
Organism: Toxotes jaculatrix (banded archerfish)
Lineage: Eukaryota; Metazoa; Chordata; Actinopteri; Toxotidae
Gene: zswim7
Gene name: zinc finger, SWIM-type containing 7
Exons: 7
Source: RefSeq, a predicted model, not a curated record
GGAAGCUGUAAUAUUUUGGCGUCCUGAAACAAAUCGGCUGAGAAAUGCGUUCACUUUUACCUGCAGUGGCUGAACAGCUUUUCCGAGAUAUUCAGAAAACAUACCAGGAAACUUCUCAAAUUCCUGAUGACCUGCUUAUUGCCUUGAAGUUUGUCUUCGGGCCUUGUGCAUUACAGGCUUUGGACCUGGUCGAUCAACGUUCAGUCACCUGUCUGUCAUCUCCCAGUGGACGUAAGGCCUUCCAGGUUAUGGGAGGCUCCGGGCGAUUGUACACUUGCUUUGUGUCCUGCCACUACUGCCCGUGCCCGGCCUUCGCCUACACCGUGCUCCGCAGAAAUGAAGGCCUGCUGUGCAAACACAUCCUGGCUGCCUACCUUUGUCAGGCCAUGGGGGUGACUCAGCAGGAGAGUGUGUCUGAUCAGCAGAUGUCCAUGCGGCUGAGCGGGACAGCAGAACCCUGACACCCAGGCUGAGCUGGACCUAAGUGAUCUGCCUGCCAGCACGGAGGAGAAGAGGGAGUUAAAUUACGCAUGACACUCUAUAGCAGAGGGUCGAUGGUCAUGUGGAUCUGGUCUCUGUUGCGUCUGCUGCCGUUGGAGCUGAGGUACAGCUCCUCCCUGCGGCACAGGAAGUGUUGAGCCAGGAUCUUGCGGAAGGUGUUCCUGAA